This 73-nucleotide transfer RNA is filed under the name archaeon CG07_land_8_20_14_0_80_38_8. RNAcentral's name for it is "tRNA-Gln". It matches the Rfam family "tRNA". From Rfam's summary of the family: Transfer RNA (tRNA) molecules are approximately 80 nucleotides in length. Their secondary structure includes four short double-helical elements and three loops (D, anti-codon, and T loops). RNAcentral also lists the same sequence under 1 other name. The record is from RNAcentral.
AGCCCUGUAGUCUAGUGGUCAAGGACAGCUGGCUUUGAACCAGCCAACCCAGGUUCGAAUCCUGGCAGGGCUA